UACGUAUGGGGCAAGCGUUAUCCGGAACUAUUGGGCGUAAAGAGUGCGUAGGUGGUUACCUAAGCGCAAGGUUUAAUCUUGAGGCUCAACCUCAUUCUGCCUUGCGAACUGGGCUACUUGAGUGCUGGAGGGGAAAGCGGAAUUCCCAGUGUAGCGGUGAAAUGCGUAGAUAUUGGGAAGAACACCGGUGGCGAAGGCGGCUUUCUGGACAGUAACUGACACUGAGGCACGAAAGCGUGGGGAGCAAACAGG
RNAcentral lists this ribosomal RNA (252 nucleotides) under uncultured bacterium. RNAcentral describes it as "partial 16S ribosomal RNA". It matches the Rfam family "Bacterial small subunit ribosomal RNA", at positions 524 to 776 of the family's 1533-position model. The record is from RNAcentral.